UGUAAGCGUAUACCAAAGUUGUUGCAGUUAAAACGCUCGUAGUCGGAAUUUGGCAGUUCCGGAUGUGUGCACGUCGUGUGCGCACUUCGCGGGGAUUGCUUUUGUGGUCUUGCGUAGGAUGAGGCACUUUUAUUAGUGAACGUCCUCACGCAACCACUUUUUACUGUGAGAAAAUCAGAGUGCUCAAAGCAGGCAUUUGCCGUGAAUGUAUUAGCAUGGAAUAAUAGAAUAGGACUUGGUUCUAUUUUGUUGGUUUGUUGGGACUGAGUAAUGAUUAAGAGGGACAGUUGGGGGCACUUGUAUUUCGGUGCUAGAGGUGAAAUUCUUAGAUUACCGAAAGACAAACUGCUGCGAAAGCGUCCGCCAAGGAUGUUUUCAUUGA
RNAcentral lists this ribosomal RNA (382 nucleotides) under uncultured eukaryote. RNAcentral's name for it is "partial 18S ribosomal RNA". It matches the Rfam family "Eukaryotic small subunit ribosomal RNA", at positions 592 to 976 of the family's 1831-position model. The record is from RNAcentral.